GACGAACGCUGGCGGCGUGCCUAAUACAUGCAAGUCGAGCGAAGUUUUUCUGGUGCUUGCACCGGAAAAACUUAGCGGCGAACGGGUGAGUAACACGUAAAGAACCUGCCUCAUAGACUGGGACAACUAUUGGAAACGAUAGCUAAUACCGGAUAACAGCAUUAACUGCAUGGUUGAUGUUUAAAAGUUGGUUUUGCUAACACUAUGAGAUGGCUUUGCGGUGCAUUAGCUAGUUGGUGGGGUAAAGGCCUACCAAGGCGACGAUGCAUAGCCGACCUGAGAGGGUGAUCGGCCACACUGGGACUGAGACACGGCCCAGACUCCUACGGGAGGCAGCAGUAGGGAAUCUUCCGCAAUGGGCGAAAGCCUGACGGAGCAACGCCGCGUGAGUGAAGAAGGAUUUCGGUCCGUAAAGCUCUGUUGUUAGGGAAGAAUGAUUGUGUAGUAACUAUACACAGUAGAGACGGUACCUAACCAGAAAGCCACGGCUAACUACGUG
This 499-nucleotide ribosomal RNA is filed under the name uncultured bacterium. RNAcentral describes it as "partial 16S ribosomal RNA". It matches the Rfam family "Bacterial small subunit ribosomal RNA", at positions 28 to 507 of the family's 1533-position model. The record is from RNAcentral.